AGUGAACGCUGGCGGUAGGCCUAACACAUGCAAGUCGAACGGCAGCACAGUAAGAGCUUGCUCUUACGGGUGGCGAGUGGCGGACGGGUGAGGAAUACAUCGGAAUCUACUUUUUCGUGGGGGAUAACGUAGGGAAACUUACGCUAAUACCGCAUACGACCUACGGGUGAAAGCAGGGGAUCUUCGGACCUUGCGCGAUUGAAUGAGCCGAUGUCGGAUUAGCUAGUUGGCGGGGUAAAGGCCCACCAAGGCGACGAUCCGUAGCUGGUCUGAGAGGAUGAUCAGCCACACUGGAACUGAGACACGGUCCAGACUCCUACGGGAGGCAGCAGUGGGGAAUAUUGGACAAUGGGCGAAAGCCUGAUCCAGCCAUACCGCGUGGGUGAAGAAGGCCUUCGGGUUGUAAGGCCCUUUUGUUGGGAAAGAAAAGCAGCAGGUUAAUACCCCGCUGUUCUGACGGUACCCAAAGAAUAAGCACCGGCUAACUUCGUG
Molecule: ribosomal RNA, 492 nt
Filed under: uncultured bacterium
Lineage: Bacteria
Description: partial 16S ribosomal RNA
Rfam family: Bacterial small subunit ribosomal RNA
Source: RNAcentral